This 414-nucleotide long non-coding RNA is filed under the name Mytilus galloprovincialis (Mediterranean mussel). Lineage: Eukaryota; Metazoa; Mollusca; Bivalvia; Mytilida; Mytilidae. The record is from RNAcentral.
GUUAUUUUCCAAUUUCUGUUCACAUAUGUCUCUAGGUUUUGGAAAAAGCUAUAAAACCUUUUUUAAGUGACUCAUAAGAACACAAACUGGAAAUAGCUAUAAAAUCAUUUUAAAGAGACAUGUGAGAACACAUCCUGGAAAUAGUUAUAAAAAGUUAAGACUGAGACACAUGAGAACACAUACUCGAAAUAGUUAUAAACACGAUAAAGAGACACAUGAGAACACAUACUGGAAAUGAGUAUAAAAUCUUUUUAAAGGAACACAUGAGAACACAAACUCGAAAUAGUUGUAAAAACUUAUAAAAUGAGAAAGAGACACACGAGAACACGAGAAAUAGCUAUAAAAUCAUUUUAAAGAAACUUAUUACAUUGGUUGCAAUGAAUUACAUUGAUUUCCCAGUUAGAUAAAAACCGA